Molecule: ribosomal RNA, 634 nt
Filed under: Amnibacterium sp. Ri1Pt_3846
Lineage: Bacteria; Bacillati; Actinomycetota; Actinomycetes; Micrococcales; Microbacteriaceae
Description: bacterial SSU rRNA
Rfam family: Bacterial small subunit ribosomal RNA
Source: RNAcentral
GCCUGAUGCAGCCAUGCCGCGUGAGGGAAGAAGGCCUUCGGGUUGUAAACCUCUUUUAGCAGGGAAGAAGCGAAAGUGACGGUACCUGCAGAAAAAGCACCGGCUAACUACGUGCCAGCAGCCGCGGUAAUACGUAGGGUGCAAGCGUUGUCCGGAAUUAUUGGGCGUAAAGAGCUCGUAGGCGGUUUGUCGCGUCUGCUGUGAAAACGCGAGGCUCAACCUCGCGCCUGCAGUGGGUACGGGCAGACUUGAGUGCGGUAGGGGAGAUUGGAAUUCCUGGUGUAGCGGUGGAAUGCGCAGAUAUCAGGAGGAACACCGAUGGCGAAGGCAGAUCUCUGGGCCGUUACUGACGCUGAGGAGCGAAAGCGUGGGGAGCGAACAGGAUUAGAUACCCUGGUAGUCCACGCCGUAAACGUUGGGAACUAGAUGUGGGGUCCAUUCCACGGAUUCCGUGUCGCAGCUAACGCAUUAAGUUCCCCGCCUGGGGAGUACGGCCGCAAGGCUAAAACUCAAAGGAAUUGACGGGGGCCCGCACAAGCGGCGGAGCAUGCGGAUUAAUUCGAUGCAACGCGAAGAACCUUACCAAGGCUUGACAUGCACCUGAAAAGGCUGGAAACAGUCUCCUCGCAAGACA